CCAGCUUUAGCUCUGUUGGUAGUGUGGUGGACUGUAAAUGUGUAACAGCAUGACUAUCCUUAAGUUGCUGGUUCAAAUCCGACUCGAAGGA
Non-coding RNA from Ameiurus melas (black bullhead), 91 nucleotides. The record is from the annotation of a GenBank genome assembly. Lineage: Eukaryota; Metazoa; Chordata; Actinopteri; Siluriformes; Ictaluridae.